Molecule: non-coding RNA, 187 nt
Organism: Pelodiscus sinensis (Chinese soft-shelled turtle)
Lineage: Eukaryota; Metazoa; Chordata; Testudines; Trionychidae
Source: RefSeq, a predicted model, not a curated record
AAAUUCCCCAGCAGCAAAGAAGGAAGAAGGAGCAAGGUGUAUUAACACCUUGAAAUAUCCAGGGAACACAAAGAUAUGAUUGAAUUUCCUCUCCAAGCUCUUCCAAUCAGCUCUGCCAGAUACAAGGCAGUUUUUGGACCAGAUCAUCCUCCUGAAAUUAGCAUAUGGAAAGAAUCCUCCUCACAAA